This 746-nucleotide ribosomal RNA is filed under the name Klebsiella planticola. RNAcentral's name for it is "Raoultella planticola partial 23S ribosomal RNA". It matches the Rfam family "Bacterial large subunit ribosomal RNA", at positions 2202 to 2925 of the family's 2925-position model. RNAcentral also lists the same sequence under 1 other name. The record is from RNAcentral. Lineage: Bacteria; Pseudomonadati; Pseudomonadota; Gammaproteobacteria; Enterobacterales; Enterobacteriaceae.
ACCCUUUAAUGUUUGAUGUUCUAACGUAGACCCGUGAUCCGGGUUGCGGACAGUGUCUGGUGGGUAGUUUGACUGGGGCGGUCUCCUCCCAAAGAGUAACGGAGGAGCACGAAGGUUAGCUAAUCCUGGUCGGACAUCAGGAGGUUAGUGCAAUGGCAUAAGCUAGCUUGACUGCGAGCGUGACGGCGCGAGCAGGUGCGAAAGCAGGUCAUAGUGAUCCGGUGGUUCUGAAUGGAAGGGCCAUCGCUCAACGGAUAAAAGGUACUCCGGGGAUAACAGGCUGAUACCGCCCAAGAGUUCAUAUCGACGGCGGUGUUUGGCACCUCGAUGUCGGCUCAUCACAUCCUGGGGCUGAAGUAGGUCCCAAGGGUAUGGCUGUUCGCCAUUUAAAGUGGUACGCGAGCUGGGUUUAGAACGUCGUGAGACAGUUCGGUCCCUAUCUGCCGUGGGCGCUGGAGAAUUGAGGGGGGCUGCUCCUAGUACGAGAGGACCGGAGUGGACGCAUCACUGGUGUUCGGGUUGUCAUGCCAAUGGCAUUGCCCGGUAGCUAAAUGCGGAAAAGAUAAGUGCUGAAAGCAUCUAAGCACGAAACUUGCCCCGAGAUGAGUUCUCCCUGACUCCUUGAGAGUCCUGAAGGAACGUUGAAGACGACGACGUUGAUAGGUCGGGUGUGUAAGCGUAGCGAUACGUUGAGCUAACCGAUACUAAUGAACCGUGAGGCUUAACCUUACAACGCCGAAGCUGUU